UGCACAAGUUGUAGUUGCUACUACUUUCAUAGUACGGCAAUAUAUUUGUUUGUGUUACUGACUUCGUCAAGUUGAGCAACUUGAUUAGAUUUCUGAAGCAUUGUAUCUGUUUGUUGUUACAAUUUGCAAGUCCUAAAUUUGUUCAAAAAGCACUGAUUGGAAGAGAGGAUUUUGCUGCGUUGUAAUUUUUGAGGAUGAAUGCUUAUUUAAUGUAAACUAUACUUGCGUAUAGUACUCUUAGAUA
Molecule: unclassified non-coding RNA, 244 nt
Filed under: Lepidocyrtus lignorum
Lineage: Eukaryota; Metazoa; Arthropoda; Collembola; Entomobryomorpha; Entomobryidae
Description: sequence contains ITS2
Source: RNAcentral